This 2561-nucleotide long non-coding RNA is filed under the name Sus scrofa (pig). RNAcentral describes it as "lncRNA (ENSSSCG00060008099.1)". Lineage: Eukaryota; Metazoa; Chordata; Mammalia; Artiodactyla; Suidae. The record is from RNAcentral.
AUGUUUCCCGGGAGUUUAUUUUUCACGAUUUUACUCAUUUCUCAGAUUAAAGAGAAGGUAAUCUUUGGAGUAAAGGGUCAAGAACUGGUUUAUCCUAAAAAGCUUCCUCUGAUACAGAAGCGAAAUGUUUGGCACAUCCACGAGGAUGAUAUACAGGUACGCAGCUUUGCUUUAAUAAAUAAGAUGCGUUGCUUUCAUAGGCAUGAAGAAAGCAACCUUUGUCUCCAUUAGAAGCAAACAAGGGAGGUGUCUUGAUUUUUUCCAAGGACUCCUAUUCGGUUUACAGUAUCCUCUUGCAGGGGAGGGGGACAGGUAGAGGCUGGUGGAAAAAGCAAUCCUUUGAUGGAUGAGGAAACGAAAAAGAAGAAAGUUUAGGUUUUAGAGGGGAGGGCAUUUAAAAUCUCCCAGUUUAUGUGAGGAGUUCCACUAACAGCUUUCCAGGCUGAUUUAAAGCAGCCUCAUGCAUUCCAAGCCGGUACCUACACAAUGUAAUCUCUGAGCACUUAGCCUUCCCAGGGACCUUAUGCAGGUUUAUUGACCUCACAGAUUCCACAGCAAAGCUGAGCAACUUGCACAGGAACACAAAGGUCUAGAUGGCCUGGGAGUCAGAAGAGUGUUUACUCAGGUGUUCAAAUUUAAAAACAUUUAAAAUUUUCUUUCCCCCAAUAAUAAAUAUUUAUGUAGAAAAUAUAUAACACACCUAAUGGGGAAGACGCUUCAAAAUUAGAUUAUUUUCAAUGUCCACCAUUCUAAAAGACACUAAAUGACUGUUCCUAGAUACUUAUCAGCAGGCAUCUGCAUUUUGAGCCUUAGGCUUUUAAUUUGGCCCAUGGAGCAGCCUGACGCCAAUACUCCUUGAGAAGGUAGACCUUGCCCAAUGCACUGACCUGAGUUCCCUCCACCACUACAGGAGCCAGGCUUCCAGGCUCUCACUUUGGAGGUUUCUCAGUCAAAAGGAAGAUACACUUCAACUUUCCAAAUGGUCCCAUCGAGGCUUCUUUCCCAUGGCUUGAGAUGAUUAAAAAAAAAAAAAAAAAAAAAAAAAAAAAAGCAGCUCUCCAUCUGCUACCAUUUGGAAAUAAUGCCGAACCAUUUUUCUCUAAUAAUCUCUUUGCAAGUAGAUUCUCUCUUGAUCUCCAAUUCUUUUUUUCACCUUCUCAAACCUUUUACUGGUUGGACAUUGAUAUUUAGCUAAGAGGUCAAAACCAGUUUUCUGCCACCCCUUGUGCAAAAGCCAGUGGCUCUUUUGGCAUCUAUUCUCUCAAGACUUCAUCAAGAUGAAAAGUCCUGGUAUAUACAAGAUGAGCCAGGGCUGGGGCAGGAAAUAUAAAAAACGAGUUUGGAGCAUUUGGGAGCACUAGAAAGUAAGAAUGUUCUCAAACAAGCAAAGAAACCUAAACCCAUGUUGAUGGGAAUAUGGCAAAAGAACACAGGGGCCAAGUGAAAGAUUUCCCAGUGGCCAAGCAGAAAAUUUGAGCAACAAAAUCAAUAACAUAGCUUUGGACCAUAACACAAAGUAUAGAUUAAUAUCCAUAAACCCAGACUGAUAUAAAUAAAUGACUGAACAAGUGAAUAAAAGAGGGAGAAUAGACAAAUCUCCCAUAAAGAAGAGUCAGAAGAUUGAUGUCGACUCUCGCCUCCCCAGGAGGUGGAGCAUAACACCCUACCCUCUAAGCAUGGGCUUUGCAUAGUGACUUCCUUCCAAAGAAGAGAAUAAUAUGGAAGGAGGAAAAAGUACAUAUUUAUGAUGGAGAAAUCUGACAAAUGCUGCCUCAGCAAGGUGGUCCAAGUUAACAUCAGUAAUAAGUCAUGGUGAUAGAUUGUGCUCCUGAUACGAUGCAAUGAAAAAUCGCAGUGGAUUUUUUCAUUUUCUAUCAGGUCUCUAUAACUCCAGUCUAAGCAUGAGAAAAACAUCAGGAAACUAAAUCGAGGGACAACCUACAAAAUAUCUCAUCAGUAUUUGACUAAUACUCUUCAAAACUGUCAAAGUCAUGAAAAAUAAAUGAAGUUUAAGAAAUUAUUCCAAUCUAGAAGAACUUAACGGAGAAAUGACAACCAUAUGUAAUGUGGUAUCCUAGCUGGAAUCUUAAAACAGUAAAAGGACAUUAGACAAAAUCUGUGGAAAUCCAGGAAUUCCCUGGUGGCCUAGCAGUUAAGGAUCCAGCAUUGUCACAGCUAUGGCUUGGGUUCGAACCCCGGCUCAGGAAUUUCCACAAGGCAAGGGUGAAGCCAAAAAAAAACAGAGCUAUAGAAAUCUGGAUAAAUGUAAACUUUAAUUGAUAGUAUCUAUCUUGGUUCAUUAGUUGUGACAAAUAUACCACAGUAAUAUAUAAGGGUUAACACAAGGAAACCUAAGUUACGGGGUCUAUGCAGAUUCUGUGUUAUCAUCUUUUCAACUGUCCUCCAAGUCUAAAAUGAUUCUAAAAUAAAAAUUCAUUUAAAAACUAAAAAUAAAUCAAAUUCUAAAAUAAAAAUAAUUCUAUUUAUUAAAAAUAUUGUUAAAGACUUUGGAGUUCCUGUCGUAGCGCAGAGGUUAACGAAUCUGACUAGGAACCAUGAGG